UCCUACGGGGGGCAGCAGUGGGGGAUAUUGCACAAUGGGGGGAACCCUGAUGCAGCGACGCCGCGUGGGUGAAGAAGCGCCUCGGCGCGUAAAGCCCUGUCAGCAGGGAAGAAAAUGACGGUACCUGAAGAAGAAGCCCCGGCUAACUACGUGCCAGCAGCCGCGGUAAUACGUAGGGGGCAAGCGUUAUCCGGAUUUACUGGGUGUAAAGGGAGCGUAGACGGCGGCGCAAGUCUGAAGUGAAAGCCCGUGGCUCAACCGCGGAACCGCUUCGGAAACUGCGAGGCUGGAGUGCUGGAGAGGUA
RNAcentral lists this ribosomal RNA (305 nucleotides) under uncultured bacterium. RNAcentral's name for it is "bacterial SSU rRNA". It matches the Rfam family "Bacterial small subunit ribosomal RNA", at positions 337 to 659 of the family's 1533-position model. The record is from RNAcentral.